UCAUGAACAACGCAAAAAAUCACAUUCCAAAAAGCGUUCCUACGAGGACUUGUCUGAUGAAGUACGGAAAUCGUAAAGAGAAUGGAGAGCGAGGGCCAAAGGCUAAAGGUAUCGAUCUUGGGUGCAGUGCCUGCUUGACCUUGUGUCAGAUAGCAGGGAUUGCAAUGAUUGAUUCCACAU
RNAcentral lists this small RNA (180 nucleotides) under Penicillium antarcticum. RNAcentral's name for it is "A. fumigatus sRNA Afu_182". It matches the Rfam family "A. fumigatus sRNA Afu_182". The record is from Rfam by way of RNAcentral. Lineage: Eukaryota; Fungi; Ascomycota; Eurotiomycetes; Eurotiales; Aspergillaceae.